AAUGGACGAAAGUCUGAUGCAGCGACACCGCGUGAAGGAUGAAGGCCCUAGGGUUGUAAACUUCUUUUAUUAGGGAAUAGCAAGGAAGGUACCUAAUGAAUAAGCAACGGCUAACUACGUGCCAGCAGCCGCGGUAAUACGUAGGUUGCAAACGUUGUCCGGAAUCACUGGGCGUAAAGGGUCCGUAGGCGGUUUGAUAAGUCUCAUAUGAAAGCUUCAAGCUCAACUUGGAGAUGUUGUGAGAUACUGUCAGACUAGAGACUGUUAGAGGUAAGUGGAAUUCCAGGCGUAGUGGUGAAAUGCGUAGAUAUCUGGAGGAACACCAGUGGCGAAAGCGACUUACUGGGACAGUUCUGACGCUAAGGGACGAAAGCGUGGGGAGCGAACCGGAUU
RNAcentral lists this ribosomal RNA (393 nucleotides) under uncultured Chloroflexota bacterium. RNAcentral describes it as "bacterial SSU rRNA". It matches the Rfam family "Bacterial small subunit ribosomal RNA", at positions 370 to 779 of the family's 1533-position model. The record is from RNAcentral. Lineage: Bacteria; Bacillati; Chloroflexota.